GUUGUAUGGUUAAGUGACUAAGCGUACACGGUGGAUGCCUGGGCAGUCAGAGGCGAUGAAGGACGUACUAACUUGCGAUAAGCGCAGAUAAGGCAGUAAGAGCCGUUUGAGUCUGCGAUUUCCGAAUGGGGAAACCCAACUGCAUAAGCAGUUACUGUUAACUGAAUACAUAGGUUAACAGAGCAAACCGGGGGAACUGAAACAUCUAAGUACCCCGAGGAGAAGAAAUCAACCGAGAUUCCGGUAGUAGCGGCGAGCGAACCUGGAUUAGCCCUUAAGCACUCGGUGAAGUAGGUGAACAAGCUGGAAAGCUUGGCGAUACAGGGUGAUAGCCCCGUAACCGACGCUUCAUCGAGCGUGAAAUCGAGUAGGGCGGGACACGUGAUAUCCUGUCUGAAUAUGGGGGGACCAUCCUCCAAGGCUAAAUACUCCUGACUGACCGAUAGUGAACCAGUACCGUGAGGGAAAGGCGAAAAGAACCCCUGUGAGGGGAGUGAAAUAGAACCUGAAACCGUGUACGUACAAGCAGUAGGAGCACCUUCGUGGUGUGACUGCGUACCUUUUGUAUAAUGGGUCAGCGACUUAUAUUCAGUGGCAAGGUUAACCGUAUAGGGGAGCCGUAGCGAAAGCGAGUCUUAACUGGGCGCUCAGUCUCUGGAUAUAGACCCGAAACCGGGUGAUCUAGCCAUGGGCAGGUUGAAGGUUGAGUAACAUCAACUGGAGGACCGAACCGACUAAUGUUGAAAAAUUAGCGGAUGACUUGUGGCUAGGGGUGAAAGGCCAAUCAAACUCGGAGAUAGCUGGUUCUCCCCGAAAGCUAUUUAGGUAGCGCCUCGGACGAAUACUACUGGGGGUAGAGCACUGUUAAGGCUAGGGGGUCAUCCCGACUUACCAACCCUUUGCAAACUCCGAAUACCAGUAAGUACUAUCCGGGAGACACACGGCGGGUGCUAACGUCCGUCGUGGAGAGGGAAACAACCCAGACCGCCAGCUAAGGUCCCAAAGUAUUGCUAAGUGGGAAACGAUGUGGGAAGGCUCAGACAGCUAGGAUGUUGGCUUAGAAGCAGCCAUCAUUUAAAGAAAGCGUAAUAGCUCACUAGUCGAGUCGGCCUGCGCGGAAGAUGUAACGGGGCUAAGCAAUACACCGAAGCUGCGGCAAUGAAGUUUACUUCAUUGGGUAGGGGAGCGUUCUGUAAGCCGUUGAAGGUGAAUCGUAAGGUUUGCUGGAGGUAUCAGAAGUGCGAAUGCUGACAUGAGUAACGACAANNAUUGCGAUGGGGGGACGGAGAAGGCUAGGUGGGCCAGGCGACGGUUGUCCUGGUUCAAGUGCGUAGGCUUAAGAGUUAGGUAAAUCCGGCUCUUUCUAAGGCUGAGACACGACGUCGAGCUGCUACGGCAGUGAAGUCAUUGAUGCCAUGCUUCCAGGAAAAGCCUCUAAGCUUCAGAUUUGAUGGAAUCGUACCCCAAACCGACACAGGUGGUCGGGUAGAGAAUACCAAGGCGCUUGAGAGAACUCGGGUGAAGGAACUAGGCAAAAUGGUACCGUAACUUCGGGAGAAGGUACGCUCUUGAUGGUGAAGUCCCUCGCGGAUGGAGCUGACGAGAGUCGCAGAUACCAGGUGGCUGCAACUGUUUAUUAAAAACACAGCACUGUGCAAAAUCGCAAGAUGACGUAUACGGUGUGACGCCUGCCCGGUGCCGGAAGGUUAAUUGAUGGGGUUAGCGUAAGCGAAGCUCUUGAUCGAAGCCCCGGUAAACGGCGGCCGUAACUAUAACGGUCCUAAGGUAGCGAAAUUCCUUGUCGGGUAAGUUCCGACCUGCACGAAUGGCGUAAUGAUGGCCACGCUGUCUCCACCCGAGACUCAGUGAAAUUGAAAUCGCUGUGAAGAUGCAGUGUACCCGCGGCUAGACGGAAAGACCCCGUGAACCUUUACUACAGCUUGGCACUGAACAUUGAACCUACAUGUGUAGGAUAGGUGGGAGGCUAUGAAGACGUGACGCUAGUUGCGUUGGAGCCGUCCUUGAAAUACCACCCUUGUAUGUUUGAUGUUCUAACUUAGACCCAUUAUCUGGGUUGAGGACAGUGCCUGGUGGGUAGUUUGACUGGGGCGGUCUCCUCCCAAAGAGUAACGGAGGAGCACGAAGGUGGGCUAAUCACGGUUGGACAUCGUGAGGUUAGUGCAAUGGCAUAAGCCCGCUUAACUGCGAGAAUGACGGUUCGAGCAGGUGCGAAAGCAGGUCAUAGUGAUCCGGUGGUUCUGUAUGGAAGGGCCAUCGCUCAACGGAUAAAAGGUACUCCGGGGAUAACAGGCUGAUACCGCCCAAGAGUUCAUAUCGACGGCGGUGUUUGGCACCUCGAUGUCGGCUCAUCACAUCCUGGGGCUGAAGUCGGUCCCAAGGGUAUGGCUGUUCGCCAUUUAAAGUGGUACGCGAGCUGGGUUUAGAACGUCGUGAGACAGUUCGGUCCCUAUCUGCCGUGGGCGUUGGAAGAUUGAAGGGGGCUGCUCCUAGUACGAGAGGACCGGAGUGGACGAACCUCUGGUGUUCGGGUUGUGUCGCCAGACGCAUUGCCCGGUAGCUAAGUUCGGAAUCGAUAACCGCUGAAAGCAUCUAAGCGGGAAGCGAGCCCUGAGAUGAGUCUUCCCUGACAGUUUAACUGUCCUAAAGGGUUGUUCGAGACUAGAACGUUGAUAGGCAGGGUGUGUAAGCGUUGUGAGGCGUUGAGCUAACCUGUACUAAUUGCCCGUGAGGCUUAACCAUACAACACCCAAGGGGUUUUGUA
RNAcentral lists this ribosomal RNA (2782 nucleotides) under Vibrio metoecus. RNAcentral describes it as "bacterial LSU rRNA". It matches the Rfam family "Bacterial large subunit ribosomal RNA". The record is from RNAcentral. Lineage: Bacteria; Pseudomonadati; Pseudomonadota; Gammaproteobacteria; Vibrionales; Vibrionaceae.